This 166-nucleotide ribosomal RNA is filed under the name Cyclotella atomus var. atomus. RNAcentral describes it as "5.8S ribosomal RNA". It matches the Rfam family "5.8S ribosomal RNA". From Rfam's summary of the family: 5.8S ribosomal RNA (5.8S rRNA) is a component of the large subunit of the eukaryotic ribosome. It is transcribed by RNA polymerase I as part of the 45S precursor that also contains 18S and 28S rRNA. Lineage: Eukaryota; Bacillariophyta; Thalassiosirophyceae; Thalassiosirales; Thalassiosiraceae. The record is from RNAcentral.
CUUUACAACUUUUGGCAAUGGAUGUCUUGGGUCCCACAACGAUGAAGAACGCAGCGAAAUGCGAUACGUAAUGCGAAUUGCAGGACCUCGUGAAUCAUCAAAAUUUUGAACGCACAUUGCGCUUCUGGGUUAUUCCCAGGAGCAUACUUAUCUGAGUGUCCCGAAA